RNAcentral lists this long non-coding RNA (6345 nucleotides) under Manihot esculenta (cassava). Its description in RNAcentral is "long non-coding RNA (MESC_LNC005154)". The record is from RNAcentral. Lineage: Eukaryota; Viridiplantae; Streptophyta; Magnoliopsida; Malpighiales; Euphorbiaceae.
AAUUUUGUAGAUUCUUAUCUGCCCUUGUGAAAAUGAAACAAUAUCACACUGUCUUUUCCAUGUCCAAAACAAUUGAAUUGCUAGGAAUCUCUCACGAUGUUUAUUCUCUUAACAUCUUAAUUAAUUGCUUCUGCCGUUUACAUCUUGUGGAUUUUGGCUUCUCUGUUUUUGGUAAGAUGCUCAAAUUCGGAUUGGAGCCUGACGUUGUGACAUUUACUACCUUAAUUAAUGGGCUUUGUAUAGAGAGUAAAAUCGACAAAGCAGUGGAAUUUUUCGAUGAUAUGGUUGCACGUGGUUAUCAACCUAAUGUUCGUACUUUCAAUGUGAUAGUAAACGGAUUGUGUAAAUUUGGGAAAACAAAUGUGGCUAUUGGGCUACUAAAGGGAAUGACUGAUAGAGGUUGUGAGCCAAAUGUUGUGACAUACAGUGCAAUCAUUGACGCCCUUUGCAAAGAUGAGCUAGUUGGUGAGGCUUUAGAGCUCUUCUCUCAAAUGAGGAAUAAGGGCAUUUCACCUGAUGUCAUCACUUACACUAGUUUAAUUCAUGGUGUUUGCAAAUUAGGCCAAAAGAACCAAGCUUUAGCCUUGAUGAAUGAAAUGGUGGAGCAGAACAUAUCACCUGAUGUUUACACCUUCAGUGUAUUGAUUGAUGCUCUUUGUAAGGAUGGAAUGGUUUCAGAGGCUCAAAAUACAUUCAAUGUAAUGAUUCAAAGAGGUGUAGAGCCUGAUGUGGUCACUUACAAUUCCUUAAUCGAUGGUCUUUGCAUUUCAGACCAAUUCAAGGAAGCUUUGUCCUUGUUGAAAGAAAUGGUGGGGAGGAACAUAUCCCCUGAUGUUUUUACCUUCAAUAUAUUGAUCGACACUCUUUGUAAGAAAGGACUGGUUUCAAAUUCAGAGAGUAUAAUCAAAAUAAUGAUUCAAAGAGGUGUGGAACCUGAUGUUGUCACUUAUAAUUCAUUGAUGGAUGGAUAUUGUCUAGGCAGCCAAAUUGAUAAGGCUAGAAAGCUAUUUGAUCUGAUGGUGACCAAUGAAAUAGCUGGCAUUUUUAGCUACAACAUUUUGAUCAAUGGAUAUUGUAAGUGCAAAAUGAUAGAUGAUGCAAAGCAGAUUUUUUAUGAAAUAUCUCAUAAAGGUUUAGUUCCUGAUGCUUUUACCUAUCAUACUCUUAUAAAGGGUAUGUUUCAAGCAGGGAGGCCCCAAACUGCAAAAGUGCUCUUUAAGGAUAUGUGCUCUCAUGGUCAACAGCCAAAUAUAGUAACCUUCUCAAUUAUGAUUGAUGGCUUGUGUAGACAGGGGAAUCUCGAUGAGGCACUCACCCUAUUGAAAGCAAUGGAGAAAAGUGAGUUGAAGCCUAAUUUUGUGAUCUAUAGCAGUCUGAUCAAUGGUAUGUGCAAAGUUGGGAAGAUUAAUGAUGCCAAGGAACUUUUUUAUAGUCUUUUUGAAAUUGGUUUACAACCUGAUGUUUAUGUAUAUAAUGCAAUUAUGAAAGGACUCUGCCAACAAGGAUUAACGGAUGAAGCUUAUAAGGUAUUUAAAGACAUGGAAAAGGUAGGAUGUUUACCAAAUAAUUGUUGUUAUAAUAUCAUCAUUCAAGGGUUUCUCAGGCAUGAGGAUUUACCAAAAGCAUCAGAAUUAAUCAAUGAAAUGGUUGAUAAGGGGUUCUCUUCUAAUGAUGCUACCACAGAAUUGGUAGUACAUUUAUCGCGGAAUAAUGAUCUCAUUCUGAGGCUUUUAAAGGUGCGCAAUGAGGGAUCAACAAACUAAAGUUGUUAUAUCUUGACCAUUCAAGUGUGUCUUGGAGCACAACUUGGUAAUUACCUUUUUCAAAUAUAAUAGAUAUGUAAUUUAACUAAUUUCUUCAAAUAUCAUUUUUAAUUUCAAUCAGCUGUGAUUCUCUUCUACAAAAUGAAAUUUUCUAACACCGCAAAUGACCUGUCAUGGUUUACCACGAGCAGACUCGCGAAUAAACUCGUAAAUAGUUUCGUUAAGCAGGCUGAAAUUAAUAAUAUAAGAGAAAUAAAUUCAAAUCUUACAUAUACUUUUAUGAGUCAAAUUUAAAUUUUAUAAAGUUCAAUUUAAUAUUGUGUAAUUAGACUAUUAAAACUUGCAUAUAUUUGGAUCGUUAAGAGUUCAUCUUUAUAAGUUUAAGAGCUAAUUUGUAUAUGUGAAGGUCAGCUGUUUGCUUGAUGUGGGACGUCCCUCUCAUCGGCAGAGUACGAAAAAUCAAAAUUGUAUAUAAUAGUUAAUUACGAAACUACUAAAUAACUUGGAUUAACUAUUUUGGGCCAAGUGGAAAGUAGGUCAAAAGUUAUUUGGGUUAGUUUGGGCCGGAUUGUUAUGCUUACUUAAUGUAGGAAGACGUCCCACAUCGACGGAAAAUGAAACUACAAGUAAAAAGUGGGCACUUUCCAAAAAUUAUUUAGGUGGGUCGAGCCGUUUCAGUAUAUAUACUUAUUUAGUUUUAAACUAAAACUCAUUACACAUAUAAAUAAAUUAAAUUAUUGGUGAAUUAUUUGAGACUAAACUCAAUAAAAACUUGACUAGUCUAAGUUUAUUUGCUAAAAGAGUCAAAUUUGAACUUAUUAAUACUCCACUUAAAAAAAUUUUAACGGACUAAAUUUGAACUCUUCAAAACGAUUAGUUUACACUCUAAGUAAAUUUUAAAAAGUGUUUAAAUUACUAAUAAGCUCUAAAUCCAAAUUACCAAAAAAUUACUAACGGAUUUGAAAAUCCGUUACUAAACUUUAUCAUCAAAUUAAUAAGUAAAAAAAAAAUAUUAAAUUUAUCAACAGAUGCUACCUGCUAGUAAAUCCGUUGAUAAAUUUAAAAUAAAAUCCUACAUAAAAUUCUUUCUUUUUUUUUUUACAACUCACAUUUUUCAGUUACCAACGGAUUUGCUAAUAAAUUUUAGUAACGAAUUACAAAUUUAUUAAUAAUUCGCGUUUAUAAAUAUAACACCAGCUCCUCUGCUUUUAUUAUUCGUUCAUCUUAUCAUCCGCCUUUCUUCCAUUUUUUCCCUUUCUCUCAUUUUCAUUCUUUUUCUUUCUUUCUUUCAUUUCACUUUUUUAUCUCAUAAUUUUUUUUUCUAUUAUUUUUCUUUCAUCUCUUAUCCUAUUUUCUCUAAUUCUCUUUCGUCUUCUAUUACUCUUUUUCAUUUUUCAUUUUCUCCAUUUUCUUUUCCAUCUUUUUAUUUCCUUUCCUCUUAUCUUCUUCAUUUUUUCUAUAAUUUUCAUUCAUAUUAAUUUUUUAAUAUUAUUUUCUCCUAUCAUUUUCUUUCUAUCUAUAUUUUUCUAUUAUUUUAUCUUUAUUUAUUUUCUUCUCUAAUCAUUUGUUCAUUUUUUUUCAUUUUUCUAAUUAUCUUUUUACUCAACUCUCAUUCUUUCUUCUUUUUCAUAAUUUUUAUUUUUCUAUCAUUUUCUUUAUUUUUCUCUUUUUUCUUUCUUUUUUAUUAUUUUCUCUCAUUUUGUACUAUUUGUUUUUUUUUUUAUUUGCACUUUCUAUGUAUUUCUAAUAAAUAUUGAAUAUAAAUUAAAAACUUAAUAACAAUAAUAAUAUAAUUUUAAGUCUUAUUAAAUUAAUAAAAAAUUAUUUAAAUUCUUAAUAAAUUUACUAAUGGAAUGCAAUUCGUUAAUAAUUUACUAACGGAUUUCACAUAUGUUAAUAAAUUAUUUUUCUUUUAUACUAACAGAUUUAAAAUUUGUUAGUAAUUUGGAAUCUGUCGGUAAUAAUAAUGAAAACUCCGUUAAUAAAUCCGCUAGUAUUACUAACGAAUUUGAAAGUCGGUAAAAAUUUACCGUCAAACUUUUUAACAACGGAUCGUAAUCUAUUAGUAAUCAAUUGUUAAUUUAUUUACCAUUGGAUUUUUAUUGAAUUGCCAAUGAAAAAAUCACUGCAUUAUCAAUACAAAUUAAGAAGUUGUUGAUUCAUAUAUUUACAAUAAAAUGUCUUUUAAACUCUUAAGACUUUUGAAGCUAAAAUUGAAAAAACAUUCAUGAUGUUGUAUUUCUCCUUUGGUUGAAAUUGUUAUUCAUGCAAGAUGAUUUUUUCUGUUGUAACACUUUGGAAUGAUGUCUAUUAUUGGAAUGCAUAUGAUUGUUUGACUAAUAUAAAACAGAUAUAAGAAGUAUAUAGUUAAAAAGAUAAUUAUAAUUUUUAGCAAUAAACAUUUAAUAAAAAUAUUAAAUUUUUGAUAAUUUUAUAUUUUUAUGAUUAGAUUCACACAAUAAUUUAAUUUUCUAAUUUAACAUUUAUUAUGUAAUCUUAUAAAUAAAAUGUUUAUAAUUUUAAUUUUUAUGAAAUUUUGUACAUAAAUAUAUUCAUACUUUAAAAAUAUUAUUCUUAUAAUUUAUAAUACAAUAUAAUGUCUAUUAAAUGCAUAGAAAUAAUUUACAUAUUAUAAAUUUACGUUAAUAUUAUUAAUAAUAAAAUAAAAUUUAAAAUGCAAAAUAUAUUUAGUGAGUUUAACAUUUCAAAAUUUUAUUAUUUUGAAAUAAUUUUAUAUAUUAAUUUUUUACUGAUAUUAAUUAAAAUUAUAAUAUUAUUCAAAUAAAAUGUCAAAAUAAAAAUGUGCCAAACAGUUCUCAUGAGAGUNNNNNNNNNNNNNNNNNNNNNNNNNNNNNNNNNNNNNNNNNNNNNNNNNNNNNNNNNNNNNNNNNNNNNNNNNNNNNNNNNNNNNNNNNNNNNNNNNNNNNNNNNNNNNNNNNNNNNNNNNNNNNNNNNNNNNNNNNNNNNNNNNNNNNNNNNNNNNNNNNNNNNNNNNNNNNNNNNNNNNNNNNNNNNNNNNNNNNNNNNNNNNNNNNNNNNNNNNNNNNNNNNNNNNNNNNNNNNNNNNNNNNNNNNNNNNNNNNNNNNNNNNNNNNNNNNNNNNNUUCAAUUAAAUAUAAGGUACGGUUAUAAUAAAAUAUUAUUUUUAUGAAAAUAAAUUUAAUUAAAUCUCUAUAUUUUUAUUAAGAGUCACAUAAAUUCAAUUUAAAAUUUUUAAAAUUUUAAGCUAAUUAAACUAUGUAAUUUUAUUAAAGGCUAAAUAGAUUCUAACUUAAUAUUAUUUUUUAAUAAUAAAAUAUUAUUUUUAUAAUUUAAAACAUUAAAAUUUUAGUAUUUUAAUUAAAAUUAAAAAUUUUAAAAUAUAUAUAAAUAUAAUAAAUAAUUUCUAAAAUUAUAUAAAUAAAGUUUUAUCAUAUAAAAAUUUUUAUUAUUAAAAAAUAAUAUUAUGUUAAAUUAUGAUUUAUUUAAUUUUUGAGUAAUAAUAUAGAGAUUUAAUUUAUCCAAAAUUUUAAAUUAAAAUUAUUUAACUCUUCAAUAACGUGAGACUUAAUUGCAUUUAUAUUUACAAAAUUAUUUAUUAUAAAAUGAUAAAUUUAAUUUGUUAUUAAAUAAUAUUUUUAUAUGAAAAAUUAAUAAAAAAAUUACAAAAUGUGGCGCAUAUAAACAAUUCCUAAUUUCCUUUUGUUAUCCAUGCCACUUUACCAGCUGGCAGAGAGCCUUCCUUUUCCAAUUCUCUAUUUCCUUUCCUCAUUCCAAAUCUCCGAUCCAUCCCUAAAAACAACUGACGAGAGAUCGAUGAUGAUGAAGAUGCCUUGGAGGAGGAAGAGUAGGAGCUUACAUGUUCAACUACAAGGGGCAAUUGGUACCACUCAAUCUCCAUUCCUAUUCUUGUUUACCAAUUAUUGCCAUUCUUCUACUUCCACACUUGAAGAUGCACGCUUCUUGACAAAUAACUUCAAAUCUGCUUCUUUUACCCACCUUGAUGAUGCCAUUGCUUCCUUCAAUCAUGUAAUUCAUAAGCAUCCUCUGCCUUCUAGGGUUCCAUUUAAUAGAUUCUUAUCUGCCCUUGUGAAAAUGAAACAAUAUCACACUGUCCUUUCCAUGUCCAAAACAAUUGAAUUGCUAGGAAUCUCACACAAUCUUUAUUCUCUUAGUAUCUUAAUUAAUUGCUUCUGCCAUUUACACCUUGUGGAUUUUGGCUUCUCUGUUUUUGGUAAGAUGCUCAAAUUCGGAUUGGAGCCUGACGUUGUGACAUUUGCUACCUUAAUUAAUGGGCUUUGUAUAGAGAGUAAAAUCGACAAAGCAGUGGAAUUUUUCGAUGAUAUGGUUGCACGUGGUUAUCAACCUAAUGUUCGUACUUUCAAUGUGAUAGUAAACGGAUUGUGUAAAUUUGGGAAAACAAAUGUGGAAUGGUUUCAGAGGCUCAAAAUACAUUCAAUGUAAUGAUUCAAAGAGGUGUAGAGCCUGGUGUGAUCACAUACACAUCCUUAAUUGAUGGUCUUUGCAUUUCAGACCAAUUCAAGGAAGCUUUGGCCUUGUUGAAAGAAAUGGUAGGGAGGAACAUAUCCCCUGAUGUUUUUAC